GCUGAAGAAUGAUAUAGGGUACAGAGAAAUUGUAGCAGCAGCAUUCAGUAUGAUGCUCCAUUCCAUCUAGACAGCUAGGAAUUACCUCAGAUUCCAGAAGAGACCUUACUCUAGUGAUGCAAUUUGUAGAAGUAUAGCAUUGCAUAUACAUAUGAAAAGAAAUUAAGUAAAUAAGUGGCACAAACAGUUACAAAAGUUAAAUUCUUAUCCUUGAUGAAUGUGUAGCUAGCCAGGACAUGUGUGUGUAUGAGUAAUAGUAGAAUGUGAGAGGUAAUUGGUCAGCAAUUACUUGGUUUUGUAAUGUUAAAUUUGAUGGAAUGAAAA
Molecule: long non-coding RNA, 324 nt
Filed under: Capsicum annuum
Lineage: Eukaryota; Viridiplantae; Streptophyta; Magnoliopsida; Solanales; Solanaceae
Description: long non-coding RNA (CANN_LNC004459)
Source: RNAcentral